UGCUGGGACUAUAGGUUGGGCUUGAAGGAGAAUAUGAUGGAGAUGUUGGAGAGUACGAUGGUGAUGUGGGACUGCAAACACAAGACCACAUUUAAUCACAUCAUUAGUAAUAUAUCUAGAGCGGGUCUGGAAUCCACCAAUACAAAAACCCAACAACUUCAGAAACUAACUAGUUAUUAUGAAGCUGAAACCAGAUAUAAGUUAGGUAAAGUGACCUAAUUAAGAAGAUUAAGGCGCUACUAAAGUCACUGUAUUAUUAUCAAACAGAACCAAAUUAAGAACCUUUUCUGUCUCAGCAGAAGAAUCAAAGACACAUGUAUCAAACCAAGGUUGUUUACCUGUAACUUGGAGAUGACGGGCUGUAUGGACUAGAAGGAGACAGCUUCGGGCUGGUUGGCGAAUAUGCAAGGGAGGGGCUGUAUCUCGCCGAGGGAUUGUAACUUGGUGAUGUAGGACUGUAGGAUGGUGAUGUUGGGCUAUAGCUGGGAGAUGUUGGGCUGUAACCAGGGGAGGUAGGACUGUAUGCAGGAGAAGUUGGACUAUAUGAUGGAGAAGUCGGACUAUAAGAGGGUGAGGUGGGGCUAUAUGAAGGUGAUGUGGGGCUGUAAGAAGGUGAAGUGGGGCUGUAAGAUGGCGAAGUGGGGCUGUAUGCCGGAGAAGUGGGGCUGUAGGCCGGAGAAGUGGGGCUGUAUGCCGGAGAAGUAGGGCUGUAGCUAGGUGAUGUUGGGCUAUAGCUAGGCGAGGUUGGGCUAUAGCUUGGAGAUGUUGGACUAUAACUGGGUGAUGUGGGUGAGUAUGAAGGACUGGUUGGAGAAUAUGCUGGACUUGUCGGGCUGUAGCCAGGGGAGCUGGGGCUAUAAGUGGGGGAAGUGGGGCUGUAACCAGGAGAUGUGGGGCUGUAACCGGGGGAAGUGGGGCUGUAUCCUGGAGAGGUCGGGCUGUAACCAGGGGAUGAUGGGCUGUAACCAGGGGAUGAUGGACUGUAACCAGGGGAUGAAGUAGGAGAG
This 1007-nucleotide long non-coding RNA is filed under the name Solanum tuberosum (potato). RNAcentral describes it as "long non-coding RNA (STUB_LNC003124)". The record is from RNAcentral. Lineage: Eukaryota; Viridiplantae; Streptophyta; Magnoliopsida; Solanales; Solanaceae.